This 253-nucleotide ribosomal RNA is filed under the name uncultured bacterium. Its description in RNAcentral is "partial 16S ribosomal RNA". It matches the Rfam family "Bacterial small subunit ribosomal RNA", at positions 524 to 776 of the family's 1533-position model. The record is from RNAcentral.
UACGUAGGGGGCUAGCGUUGUCCGGAUUUAUUGGGCGUAAAGAGCGUGUAGGCGGCCAGAUAGGUCUGCUGUGAAAACUCGAGGCUCAACCUCGAGAUGUCGGCGGAAACCAUUUGGCUAGAGUCCGGAAGAGGAAAGUGGAAUUCCUGGUGUAGCGGUGAAAUGCGCAGAUAUCAGGAAGAACACCCGUGGCGAAGGCGGUUCUCUGGGACGGUACUGACGCUGAGACGCGAAAGCGUGGGGAGCGAACAGG